Molecule: ribosomal RNA, 327 nt
Filed under: uncultured eukaryote
Lineage: Eukaryota
Description: partial 18S ribosomal RNA
Rfam family: Eukaryotic small subunit ribosomal RNA
Source: RNAcentral
CCCUUAGAUGUUCUGGGCCGCACGCGCGCUACACUGAUUCAUGCAACAAGUUUUGUCCUUGGCUGAUAGGCCUGGGUAAUCUUUGAACGUGAAUCGUGAUGGGGAUAGAUGAUUGCAAUUAUUCAUCUUCAACGAGGAAUUCCUAGUAAACGCAAGUCAUCAGCUUGCAUUGAUUACGUCCCUGCCCUUUGUACACACUGCCCGUCGCACCUACCGAUUGAAUGGUCCGGUGAAAUCUUCGGAUCUGAGAGAUGUCUGAUUAAUUUCGGACGCCUUUUGGAAAAGUUGCUUAAACCUUACCAUUUAGAGGAAGGUGAAGUCGUANCA